GGGUGACGACGGAGGAGGAGAGGAGGUCGCGGGCGGCGGCUGCUGGCUUAGAGCCAAAGGAGGCCGGGAAUUUGCCCAGACUGAGGCGUGUCCUGUCUCCUGUGGUGGAGCUGCCCCCUGGGCCUGCUCUCUCCAGGCUGCGCUGACACACAGUUCCCCCGGGGAGUGCUUUGCUGUUCAGCCCUCCGGCUGCGCGGGAAAAAGCGUGUAUCCUCAGCUGAGUUGUGCCAGGGCGCUUCCGUGCAGGCCUGGGCACUGCAGGAACUAGCCGUCCUCGCCCGCUCCGGAGUGCAACCACCAGUGGUUACUUUGCUCUUUACACGGCAUUCUCAAAACUAAUGAUAAUAGAAUGAUCGGUUCUGAGACAAAGCUAUGGGGCAAGUUGAAAAGCUCUAAGUGCUUCAUUUAAAACCCAGUGGUUUAACCCACCCCUAUGUUUAAUAAAACAUUAAACAGAAUUGGGCUGAGUACCUGUCAUGGGGUUUCCCGGUGGAAACACCUGGCUCUCCAAAGAAUGCAGUCAAUUCCCAAUUUGUGAACAGCCAGGAAUUCACUCUGUAAAUUGUUCAGAACGCUAUAGAAACUAGGUCAUACUUAGUUGAUUUGUUCAGGCCAACCCCCAAAAGCUAUGAAACAAGAAGUGCUCUGUUUAUUGAAGAAACUGAAUACUUAGUUCCAAAGUUUCUGGGAUCAAGGAUGUACAUCUCAUUGAAUGAAUCAUUCCUUCUUGUAGGGUCUCAACCUACAUAGUAACUGGAUGAUUGCAAAGUAAUUUAAGGAUUAGGUACUGACGCCAGAAUCUCUUAAGCAAGUAUGCCCUAGCAAGAAUCUACAUGUCUAACAGGGUCCCAGAGAAUUCUCAGGAUAACCAAAAUUUCCAAACCACUGGAGCAAGUAACGAACAAGAAAAACAUAUAAGUACAUACAUGGGGUCUUCAUUGACAAGUACAAAUAAGGGGAAAAUAUUUGCUCAAUUUUUUUGUACUUUUAUUUUGUUAGGCAAGAUCUUAAGAGACCACAACACCAAAUGUGUUCUCAAUUAUCUCAUUUUAUCACAUGAAAGAUAUAAUUUUGGAAUUUCAAAAAAUAUAAAUUUAGUUUUAAGAAGGACCACAUUCCAGGCCGGGCGUGGUGGCUCACGCCUGUAAUCCUAGCACUUUGGGAGGCCGAGGCGGGAGGAUCACAAGGUCAGGAGAUCAAGACCAUCCUGGCUAACACAAUGAAACCCCGUCUCUACUAAAAAUACAAAAAUUAGCCGGGCGUGGUGGCACGGGCCUGUAGUCUCAGCUACUCGGGAGGCUGAGGCAGGAGAAUCACUUGAACCCGGGAGGCAGAGUUU
RNAcentral lists this long non-coding RNA (1339 nucleotides) under Homo sapiens (human). Its description in RNAcentral is "non-protein coding lnc-IFT74-9:2". Lineage: Eukaryota; Metazoa; Chordata; Mammalia; Primates; Hominidae. The record is from RNAcentral.